RNAcentral lists this ribosomal RNA (528 nucleotides) under uncultured bacterium. RNAcentral describes it as "bacterial SSU rRNA". It matches the Rfam family "Bacterial small subunit ribosomal RNA", at positions 9 to 526 of the family's 1533-position model. The record is from RNAcentral.
GAGUUUGAUCCUGGCUCAGGACGAACGCUGGCGGCGUGCUUAACACAUGCAAGUCGAACGAAAAGACGGAAAGAGCUUGCUCUUUCCGGAAUUGAGUGGCAAACGGGUGAGUAACACGUAAACAACCUGCCUUCAGGAUGGGGACAACAGACGGAAACGACUGCUAAUACCGAAUAAGUUCCAAGGGCCGCAUGGCCCAUGGAAGAAAAGGUGGCCUCUACCUGUAAGCUAUCGCCUGAAGAGGGGUUUGCGUCUGAUUAGCUGGUUGGAGGGGUAACGGCCCACCAAGGCGACGAUCAGUAGCCGGUCUGAGAGGAUGAACGGCCACACUGGAACUGAGACACGGUCCAGACUCCUACGGGAGGCAGCAGUGGGGAAUAUUGGGCAAUGGGCGCAAGCCUGACCCAGCAACGCCGCGUGAGGGAAGAAGGCUUUCGGGUUGUAAACCUCUGUCCUUGGUGACGAAGGAAGUGACGGUAGCCAAGGAGGAAGCCCCGGCUAACUACGUGCCAGCCGCCGCGGUAAUUC